Molecule: ribosomal RNA, 405 nt
Filed under: uncultured bacterium
Lineage: Bacteria
Description: bacterial SSU rRNA
Rfam family: Bacterial small subunit ribosomal RNA
Source: RNAcentral
UGGGGAAUAUUGCACAAUGGGGGAAACCCUGAUGCAGCGAUGCCGCGUGAAGGACGAAGAUUUUCGGAUCGUAAACUUCUAUCAGCAAGGAAGAAAACGGACAGUACUUGACUAAGCAGCCCCGGCUAACUACGUGCCAGCAGCCGCGGUAAUACGUAGGGGGCAAGCGUUAUCCGGAAUUACUGGGUGUAAAGGGUGCGUAGGCGGCAUCGCAAGUCAGUUGUGAAACCCAAGGGCUCAACCCUUGGCUUGCAAUUGAAACUGCGGAGCUAGAGUACAGGAGAGGAAAGCGGAAUUCCUAGUGUAGCGGUGAAAUGCGUAGAUAUUAGGAAGAACACCAGUGGCGAAGGCGGCUUUCUGGACUGAAACUGACGCUGAGGCACGAAAGCGUGGGGAGCAAACAGG